AGAGUUUGAUCCUGGCUCAGGAUGAACUUUGGCGGCGUGCUUAACACAUGCAAGUCGAACGAAGCACCUUAUUCUGAUUUCUUCGGAAUGAAAAAUUCGGUGACUGAGUGGCGGACGGGUGAGUAACGCGUGGGUAACCUGCCUCAUACAGGGGGAUAACAGUUAGAAAUGACUGCUAAUACCGCAUAAGACCACAGCACCGCAUGGUGCAGGGGUAAAAACUCCGGUGGUAUGAGAUGGACCCGCGUCUGAUUAGGUAGUUGGUGGGGUAACGGCCUACCAAGCCGACGAUCGGUAGCCGACCUGAGAGGGUGACCGGCCACAUUGGGACUGAGACACGGCCCAAACUCCUACGGGAGGCAGCAGUGGGGAAUAUUGCACAAUGGGGGAAACCCUGAUGCAGCGACGCCGCGUGAGCGAUGAAGUAUUUCGGUAUGUAAAGCUCUAUCAGCAGGGAAGAAAAUGACGGUACCUGACUAAGAAGCACCGGCUAAAUACGUGCCAGCAGCCGCGGUAAUACGUAUGGUGCAAGCGUUAUCCGGAUUUACUGGGUGUAAAGGGAGCGUAGACGGAGUGGCAAGUCUGAUGUGAAAACCCGGGGCUCAACCCCGGGACUGCAUUGGAAACUGUCAAUCUGGAGUACCGGAGAGGUAAGCGGAAUUCCUAGUGUAGCGGUGAAAUGCGUAGAUAUUAGGAGGAACACCAGUGGCGAAGGCGGCUUACUGGACGGUAACUGACGUUGAGGCUCGAAAGCGUGGGGAGCAAACAGGAUUAGAUACCCUGGUAGUCCACGCCGUAAAC
This 801-nucleotide ribosomal RNA is filed under the name uncultured bacterium. RNAcentral describes it as "bacterial SSU rRNA". It matches the Rfam family "Bacterial small subunit ribosomal RNA", at positions 8 to 807 of the family's 1533-position model. The record is from RNAcentral.